Long non-coding RNA from Asparagus officinalis (garden asparagus), 686 nucleotides. RefSeq lists it as uncharacterized. The transcript is spliced from 5 exons. The record is from RefSeq and is a predicted model, not a curated record. NCBI's taxonomy places the organism in Eukaryota, Viridiplantae, Streptophyta, Magnoliopsida, Asparagales, Asparagaceae.
GGAGAUGGAGGUGAAUAGGGCUCAAGUUAGCGCUCAAAUCCAAAACCCUAAUGAGUGUCAAUUAUUCAGUACGCUAGCUGCAUUAUUGGGUAGAAUGACAAAGGAGCAGCGAAGGAGUUACUGAAAGAUAAUUUUUGACCCAGAAAGUUUAAAAGCUUUUUAUCUCGUUAUUGCAGUUGUAUAUGCCUUGGCUUACAACUUGGUGAGUCUAUUCAAAGUUCACUUGCUUUUAUUGUACAUAUUGCUCUCAGAUAGAAAAGAAAAGUCAGGACUUGCAAAUCUCACUUUGAACAUAAACUAAUGGAGACUAUUCAUCAAAGGAGUCAACUAACUGAAGAUAGUGAGAGAGAAAAUGAUAAAAGAGAUGCAAAUGAAUUACUGAGGGAGAGAAGCAUAAUAUAUAUUCUACAUAAAGUCCACUUCUACGUUUGGGCUUAAGCUGGAGUCUAUUGGUUCUGUGCGAUAAUUGACUGCAGUUGCACAUGCUUUGGCUUACAACUUGAUGAGUUAAUCAAAGUUCAAUUGCAUCUAUCAUACAUUUAUCUGUCAGAAGAAAUGUUUUUAUGAAGAAGAUCUAUCAAGGAAUCAACACAUUGAGAAUGGCAAGGUAUUGGAAUCCUUUCUUUAACCAUAAACUCUUCUUGGAAACUGGUUAACAAGUUUGAUAACAUUGUUCACCUUACCUA